CAGCGCCACGAGUGGCAAUCGCGAUUAUUGGGCCUAAAGCGUCCGUAGCCGGUUCGGUAAAUCCUUUGUGAAAUCGCCAAGCUUAACUUGGCGGCGUGCAGGGGACACUGCCGAACUCGAGACCGGGAGGAGUUAGAAGUAUUUUUGGGGGAGCGGUAAAAUGCUAUAAUCCCAGAAAGACUACCGAUGGCGAAGGCAUCUAACUAGAACGGAUCUGACGGUGAGGGACGAAAGCCAGGGGAGCGAACCGGAUUAGAGACCCGAGUAGUCC
This 271-nucleotide ribosomal RNA is filed under the name uncultured archaeon. RNAcentral's name for it is "partial 16S ribosomal RNA". It matches the Rfam family "Archaeal small subunit ribosomal RNA", at positions 477 to 747 of the family's 1478-position model. The record is from RNAcentral.